GACGAACGCUGGCGGCGUGCUUAACACAUGCAAGUCGAACGAUGACGACCGAGCUUGCUCGGUCUGAUUAGUGGCGAACGGGUGAGUAACACGUGAGCAACCUGCCCUUCACUCUGGGAUAACCUCGGGAAAUCGGGGCUAAUACCGGAUAUGAGCUCCUGUCGCAUGGCGGGUGUUGGAAAGUUUUUCGGUGAAGGAUGGGCUCGCGGCCUAUCAGUUUGUUGGUGAGGUAGUGGCUCACCAAGGCGAUGACGGGUAGCCGGCCUGAGAGGGCGACCGGCCACACUGGGACGGAGACACGGCCCAGACUCCUACGGGAGGCAGCAGUGGGGAAUAUUGCACAAUGGGCGAAAGCCUGAUGCAGCGACGCCGCGUGAGGGAUGACGGCCUUCGGGUUGUAAACCUCUUUCAGCAGGGAAGAAGCGAAAGUGACGGUACCUGCAGAAGAAGCGCCGGCUAACUACGUG
RNAcentral lists this ribosomal RNA (467 nucleotides) under uncultured bacterium. Its description in RNAcentral is "partial 16S ribosomal RNA". It matches the Rfam family "Bacterial small subunit ribosomal RNA", at positions 28 to 507 of the family's 1533-position model. The record is from RNAcentral.